UCUCUUGGUCUAUAAUGAUCCGAACCCUAGUUGACACUGGAGCUGAACUUGUAAUGGUUAUAUCUAUUGUCUGGCUUGAUUGAUCCAUACAUGUAGAUGUCUCGUCACCACCUUUUUCGACUUCAUUACUUAGCUCAGAAGGCUUCUUAGGAUCAUCUAAUAAGAUCACGCUUCCAGAACUCAGCAUUGCGGCGACAUCCGGCAUGGUGGGCCGAACUGUUGGAUCUUCCUGGGUGCAGAGCAAUGCCACUUGGGUGCACCGAAUUAUCUGAUCAAGUUCAUACACAUUCCCUAAUGAUGGAUCUACAAGCUCAUGCAACCUUCCGUCCCUCCACAUAUGCCAAGCCUGAAAA
RNAcentral lists this small RNA (353 nucleotides) under Oryza sativa Japonica Group (Japanese rice). RNAcentral describes it as "sRNA Os06g0689483". Lineage: Eukaryota; Viridiplantae; Streptophyta; Magnoliopsida; Poales; Poaceae. The record is from RNAcentral.